UCUAAACAGAAGACAAAACAGUGCCACAAGGAAAUGCUAAGCCCCUUCUCUGUCUUCCAGGUUGUCUGCAGCCAGAGAUGGAUCCUAACUGCUGUCUGCAGCCAGAGAUGGAUCCUAACUGUUGUCCGCAGCCAGAGAUGGAUCCUAACUUAAUCUUGCAGAAAACUACAACAGAACCUGGGCCACCUGUAAUAGUGAGACAAGACACAGGUAAGUGCCGUGUCUGCUCACCAGCCCUGGGGUUACUUCCUACACCCGCUGUCUUUCUGACUCCAGACAUUCAGUCUUUCCUGUUUCAUAUUGAACAGCUUCCUCUAAAGUUACCGGUAAAUAUUUUAGAAACUGAAAACCCUACAGAUAACAAGUCAGACAGUGAGCUGCCUGAAGGCGACUUCAAGUCAGUUAUACUCCUUUUGAGUAUUUUUAACUGGGUUAUUUUAUUCUUAACUUAUUUUCAAUGACAGAAUAAUGUUCACAUUGGUGGGCUACCAUGUAUACUUUGUUGUAUGAAUAUGACUUGUUGUCACCACAUCCAACUAGUGAGCACCCUCAUCUCUAUGGAGCAUCCUUUUGUUUAGUGUCUGUUUUCCUCUGCUGGCUCCUUCUAAAGCAUGGAACGCUUUGUUGGAAGGUGAUGUCCCCCUUACAGGAUGCCAGAAUGUACUCCUGAUGCUUUGAACAGUUUCUGAAAAUUGUUACCUAUGGAAAAAAAUGUCACCUGCUAUUUUUCUUAUUAGAGUUUAUAGGUAACUGGUGUUUUAAAACAAAAAGAGAAAGAAAAGAGAAAAGUAAGAGAUGGCAGAAACCAAAUGGAAUUAGCAAAGUCAAGUCAAUAGAAAUGUUACUUAUUUAUAAAAAAUAAAUAAAUAAAUAGAGAAAGAAAGAAAGAAGGAAGGAAGGAAGGAAGGUAGGAAGGAAGGAAGGAAGGUAGGAAGGAAGGAAGGAAGGAAGGAAGGAAGGAAGGAAGGAAGGAAGGGCGGGCCAGGGGAGAUACAGCAGGGGCCAAGACAGAAGAAGGCUCAGCCCUGCCCCCAGGAGUUCACUCAUGCAUUUGAACAUUCUGACAUGUUUCGUGCCCAAGGAGGUUGAGAGGAAGGUGGAAAGUAGUUCAGGGCUCCUACUUCUGACUACUUAACAAAACGAUCCUAGAACCUGAGUGUGUUUCCGCCCUCACUGGAAAGGACCCGUGAGCAUCGUGCUCUCUGUGCUGGCUUCACCAACUGCUGCAAUUCUAAGAAAGUUCCCAUUGGAUAAGUACAGCACCUGCUCGGGGCAGGCUUGUCUGCCUCCAUAUUAGGGUAGAGUACAAGGCCUCCUGAGUAGCAGAAUCUCUUGGUUUUUAAAGCAUAGGACAGAGGACUAGCACAAACAUCAGCAUUGACGGCAUUUUCCUGGUCAGUAAAAUGUCUUGCUAGAAUCAAGAAAGUUUUUACAGACUCAGGAAGAUGCACACUCCCCCAUGGUGUCCUCUACCCCCACAUGCACGCCAUGCCACACCAGUGCUCAGAGAGGGGAUAAAAAGUAAAAGAGGACUCCUGCAAGAUGUCACAGGUCACCUGCUGCUGCCCAGCAGGCUCCUGGGCCCAGCUGCUCUAGAGCACCCCAGCUUUCUGAGCCUGUCUGUGCAGCUCACAAAGUCCCACCCUUUCAACUAAAUGGAAUGAAAAUGGCAGACAGAAGUUAGAGAUGAGCAGGCAUCUCCCGGGUACCCUCUCCUGACUGUUCAACAAAAAGAAUGCAUUUUCAAAUACUAGAGGCAAGAGAUGAUGGGGAAAGACAGGGAGAAAAGUCCCGAGAGAGUAAGUAACAAAACCAGGGGGCAAAAACCCAAGAAAUGGAGUUUGUUCAGCUUCUGCAGUGUUUCAUCUCCCAGACAAAGGGAAAACGCUAGUCUCUUUUUCACCCUUUCAAAAUGACUAUGUCAGUGUAAGAAAAAAUGUAUUGCAGCCAUUCAUUAGCAGGGCCAGGAGGGUCUCUUCCCAGCCCAGAAUCCCUGUCUGGACAGACCUUACCAUUAGACUUCUGCUGUUGUCACUCCUGCUGCCGGUGUCAGCCCACACUAACUGCCUGUGUUUAAAUUUUUGCCCAAGUAGCAGUGCCUAUCUGUAAGUACAUUUUCUCUUCACCCAUCUGGUAGAAGUAGGGACACCUAGAGGAUCUCUAAUCAGUGGAAUGCUUUUGUUUAUGAAUACACAGAGCAUGUCCUCUUAAUGAGUGAUCUGUUAUUAUAAUGAAAGGUAAACACUUGGCUGAAAGACUGAGAAAGAAAAUUGCCAAAGCAACAUGUUAACAGUUUAGCUUUUCCUAUUUUUUUUUGCAAAAUCUUUAUUUUAUGUGCAUUGGUGUUUUUGCCUGCAUGUAUGUCUACGUGAGAGUUUGUGUCCCCUAGAUUGGCAUACCAGACAGUUGUGAGCUGCCAUGUGGUUUCAGGGAAACAGAGCAGCCAGUGCUCUUAACUACUGAGACCUCUCAGGUACAGAGGAUGAAUACCAGAUACAGAGAUAGCCAGGAAUGAGUGCAGGGCACACAGACCCAAGGAGGGAGCACAGGGAGAUGAGUACAGCCAGCAUCAGCUCAUGGACUGCUCCCAGUUAACAUUCCUACUGUAUGGGGAAAGGGAACCAUACACAGGGCCAGCCAGUCACACCAGACCAGACCCUGCCUUGUAUCAUAGAUAGCAUCCUGGGGGAGGUCUGGCAUCGGCAGAAGCACUAGCAAUGGUUAGCUCUUGGGGAAAAAACUACAAGGAAAGAGACUGGAGCCUUGUUCCAAAUAUUCUGCUAACAUGUUUUUAUUUCAUAUUGUCAUAUUUCACACUGCCUGGUACUUCCAUGCCUUUUGUGUUUGCACCAAUAGGCUGAGUUGACAGUUCCGGGAAAUUCACACUACUUCCUAUGGUUCUAUUCCCAGGUUGCACAGAUGGAAGACUUCCCAAAAAAAAAGCAGAUUCCAAAGCCCAGAUGAUAAAACACGGAAGGGCAGUCUUCCCGCAAGGAUGCAGGGAGACAUCGAAGAAGAAAACGGUGUUAGGUACCAAUGAGCCCUUUACAACGCUGCACAAAAAAGAGAUAAUAGGAAGAAUCAAGAGCACCCAUGCGGGGAUUGGGAACAGAGGACGGCUGAAGGGCGAGGCCAGGACUCCAAAGUUGAGCGACUCCCACCACAGGAACAGAUCUCGACUGCUCGAGUGCAACGAAGCCCAUGAAAGAAGGUGCGUGGGUGGCGUUCUAAAGAGACGCGAGGCCCAGACAACCAAUCAGAAAGGAAUUCCAAGAAGACUGGAAUCUCAAGUAAGGUUUCAAACAAAGCUCGAAAAAGAAAUUUCAGCUGAAGCCCUUUGGUGUGAACCAACACCACCAGUUUGCAGAAAUCCGGAAUCCCUCAUGAGGAAAAAUGUGGAAGGCAUACUGAAGAGACAGGAUUCACUUGAGGAAUAGCCACCGGCCACACAGAACCCCCAAGAAUGGUGUGCUGCUCCACCUCCUUGCCCUCUGCAACCCCAGCCAGAUGCACCUCCUCCUGCUACAAUUUAAGCCCCGCCAGAGGCACCUCCUGCUCCACCACGUGGGCCAUAGGGGCUUCCACUGUGAUCUUCAGGUUCAAGCUGUGUCUCUGCCCUCACCCCGGUGGAACAUGGUUACAAAAUCCAUUUCCUCUAGACAUCUUCGUUUUCUGCUAUUCAGAAGUUUGCCGUUAUUAGACUUCCCUGCCACAAACUACAUCUUCCCAAUUUUUCUCUGUAAGCCAAUACGUAUUAUAGACUCCAAUGAAGAAAGACAGUGUUCUCAGAAAUAAAAUGUCUUUACUAAAUAUCUAAUAACAUCCUUUGGCAGUGUUCUGUCUCUAGCUCACCUAGUUGACCUUAUGACCUUGAUGGCUGCAAAUGCUUUAUGAUCCACCAAAAAAAAAAAAAAAAAAAACCCAUAGGAAAUAAAGUCAGACCUCCUGCAACCAAGCAGUUUAUGACAGAAAGUGUCCAUGUAAGCACAAUCAUUUUAUUAAGAAUCAGUAUUAAAAUGUGUCCAAAAGUAGUUUAAAUGCAC
This 4043-nucleotide long non-coding RNA is filed under the name Cricetulus griseus (Chinese hamster). Its description in RNAcentral is "lncRNA (ENSCGRG00015037386.1)". The record is from RNAcentral. Lineage: Eukaryota; Metazoa; Chordata; Mammalia; Rodentia; Cricetidae.